CUUUACUGCCUCUCUCCAGCCAGCUCCAGCACUACAGGACAGGUAGAGACACAGCAGACAUCGGAAAGAUUUCUUUAAGGCCACCGAGGAGAAAUGAAACUUGGGUCGAUACUAAUGAUUCUUACAGGGAUUGGUGUUUAGAGGGAUGCAGAUGCUUGGCCACCCGUGGAAGUAGCUAUUGGACAGACACACUCAUCCGUGAGGACACAUCAAGCUAGAUCCUGAAGGGGAGAUAGAAGUGUCAUAUAGGCAAACGGGGAGAUUGGAAUUAAAUGUCACGUGGAAAAAAGCCAACAUGGCAUUCUGUUAAGAAGAUAGACAACCUAAGUGACGUCUAUCCUGCUUCAAAGACAAAACUCAGGAGGCUGUACAUUCAUUUAGAGCAGAGUAGACGAAACCUCCUAUUCUCUGGCUUGGGAACCAGGAGGAAUCACUGACUGAGAUUUGCCAACCAGACCUCUAUGAAGUGAGCUCUAUCACAUGGUACGUUUAUGAGAAGAGGAACCAGCAAUGUUUCCUUCCAUCUUCAACUAUACUAACAAGAUCCAUCUGAUGUGUAAGCUAGUCUGGGAAUUAGGGGCACAGAAAAUUGCAUAUUAAAGUCAUACAACGUUGUUUUUUAAGAAAAGCUCUUUCUGUGAUUUGUUGCUCCAAAUCUUUCUUCUCUUGUAUUAAAAACUAUAAUGUUGAGAAAUGAUUCUCUUUGCACCUGGUAACAAUAUUUUAGUAAGCCUCUUUUCAGUUUUGAAUAGUUUGUCAUUUUUCCAUGAGUACCUUCAGGUCAUACAUAUACUUGGCUUUUAAAUUUUUUUUUGGAAUGCUAUUGUAAUGGGCCUGCUGUUCAGUCCCACCACACACUUAGCUACUUCUUUUGGGUGCUUGGGUGCAGAUUUUCCUUUGAAGCCAGUCGGAGCUACAUGCACAGAUGAAACGUGUGGCAGGA
Homo sapiens (human) is the source of this 943-nucleotide long non-coding RNA. RefSeq lists it as uncharacterized. The record is from RefSeq and is a predicted model, not a curated record. Lineage: Eukaryota; Metazoa; Chordata; Mammalia; Primates; Hominidae. The transcript is spliced from 4 exons.